GAGCUGUCGUUAGUACGAGAGGACCGGGAUGGACGCAACGCUGCUGUACCAGUUGUCUCGCCAGAGGCAUCGCUGGGUAGCUACGUGCGGACGGGAUAAGUGUUGAAAGCAUCUAAGCAUGAAGCCCCCCUCAAGAUGAGACGUCCCAUUACUCAAGUAAGUAAGAUCCCAUGAAGAUGACGAGGUAGAUAGGUUCGGGGUGGAAGUGUGGUGACACAUGGAGCUGACGAAUACUAAUCGAUCGAGGACUUAACCAAUAAC
This 261-nucleotide ribosomal RNA is filed under the name Domibacillus aminovorans. RNAcentral's name for it is "partial 23S ribosomal RNA". It matches the Rfam family "Bacterial large subunit ribosomal RNA", at positions 2669 to 2925 of the family's 2925-position model. Lineage: Bacteria; Bacillati; Bacillota; Bacilli; Caryophanales; Bacillaceae. The record is from RNAcentral.